RNAcentral lists this long non-coding RNA (603 nucleotides) under Homo sapiens (human). RNAcentral describes it as "non-protein coding lnc-PLD3-4:3". Lineage: Eukaryota; Metazoa; Chordata; Mammalia; Primates; Hominidae. The record is from RNAcentral.
GGGAUAACAGGUGUGAGCCACUGCACCCGGCUCUUUCUGGUUUUGGUUUUUUAUUGUUUUUUUGAGACAGGGUUUCACCCCCUCCGUCACCGAGGUUGAAAUGCAGUGGCACAAUCUCAGUUCACUGCAACCGACACCUCCCAUGCUCAAGCGAUCCUCCCACUUCGGCCUCCCAAGUACUGGGACCACAGAUGUGCGCCACUAUGCCCAGCUAAUUUUUUUGUAUUUUUGGUAGAGACGGAGUUUCGCCAUGUUGCCCAGACUGGUCUCAGACUCCUGAGCUGAGGCGAUCCACCCACCUUAGCCUCCCAAAGAACUGGGAUUAGAGAUGUGAGCCACCGCACUUGGCCUAAUAUUCUUUUUUUUUUUUUUUUUUUUUGACACAGUCUCACUCUGUCUCCCAGGCUGGAGUGCAGUGGUGCCAUCCGCCAUCUCGGCUCACUGAAACCUCCGCCUCCUAGGUUCAAGUGAUUCUCCUGCCUCAGCCUCCUGAGUAGAGGGAUUACAGGCGUGCACCACCACACCUGGCUAAUUUUUGUAUUUUUAUUUAUUUAUUUAUUUUUGAGUCUGAGUUUUGUUCUUGUUGCCCAGGCUGGAGUACAA